RNAcentral lists this ribosomal RNA (253 nucleotides) under uncultured prokaryote. Its description in RNAcentral is "partial 16S ribosomal RNA". It matches the Rfam family "Bacterial small subunit ribosomal RNA", at positions 525 to 777 of the family's 1533-position model. The record is from RNAcentral.
ACGGAAGGUGCAAGCGUUGCUUGGAAUCACUGGGCGUAAAGGGUGCGUAGGCGGCCGUGCAAGUCUGGCGUGAAAGCCCCGGGCUCAGCCCGGGAAGUGCGCUCGAAACUGCACGGCUCGAGCACUGUAGAGGCAGGCGGAAUUCCAGGUGUAGCGGUGGAAUGCGUAGAGAUCCGGAAGAACACCGGUGGCGAAGGCGGCCUGCUGGGCAGUGGCUGACACUGAGGCGCGACAGCGUGGGGAGCAAACAGGA